AAUUCGUGAAGCGGUUCUACAGCUUUGGAAAGUAAUUUCCAAAGUCAGCAUACUUGACAUCGACUGGAAAAUGCAACAGCUUUGUGACGUAUUUUGUUAUUCAACGAUGACGCACAGAAUGUCGGUUUGGCAGAUUUCAAAUCAAAAAAAUUUUAAUAUUGUUUUUGCAGUGAUUGAAGAAACAAAACACGAUAAACUGAUUUUAUUUCUAUUGUUUGUGUCGAAGAACGAUUAACCCUUGGUGCACGCAUUUGCAUGCGUCAUCGUCAUUCAUCGACAAACUAGCUAUGAAACAAAAGACAAUGUCAGCUGUCAAGUUUGAAGACAUUGUAAAUCACUAAAAAAAUAAUAUGUUGCAAAAAAAUAAACAUAUUCAUAGGUUCGAAAUUUAAAUAAUGUAGGAGAAUAUAAUAAUAGCACGAAAAAUCAAAACUCCAGAAUAGUGUUGGUGUUUUAAAGUUAUUUGUCAAUAAAACAUUACAAUUUGA
This is a long non-coding RNA of Xenia sp. Carnegie-2017, 488 nucleotides long. RefSeq lists it as uncharacterized. The record is from RefSeq and is a predicted model, not a curated record. Lineage: Eukaryota; Metazoa; Cnidaria; Anthozoa; Malacalcyonacea; Xeniidae. The transcript is spliced from 2 exons.